Molecule: ribosomal RNA, 275 nt
Filed under: uncultured eukaryote
Lineage: Eukaryota
Description: partial 18S ribosomal RNA
Rfam family: Eukaryotic small subunit ribosomal RNA
Source: RNAcentral
UGGUGGGGCGACUUGUCUGGUUAAUUCCGCUAACGAACGAGAACCCGGCUUCUUAAUAGGACGAUGAUGCUCGAUAACUCGUUCCGGAGCUCCGGCUUCGGCGAGUCCCUCUAGGGCGAAAGCGGUUUGGAAACCGGGGAAGCUAGGCGGAUGCUUCGGCGGAAGUCUAUCGGAACCGGCGGAAGGAUCGUCGUAACCCUUGAACGGCAAUUUUACGCGCUUCUUAGAAGGACCGUGCAUGCUACCCUAAUGCACGGAAGAGUGGGUCGAUAGCA